Molecule: ribosomal RNA, 253 nt
Filed under: uncultured bacterium
Lineage: Bacteria
Description: partial 16S ribosomal RNA
Rfam family: Bacterial small subunit ribosomal RNA
Source: RNAcentral
UACGGAGGGUGCAAGCGUUGUUCGGAAUCACUGGGCGUAAAGCGCGUGUAGGCGGCCUCCUAAGUCUGGUGUGAAAGCCCGGGGCUUACCCCCGGAAGUGCACUGGAUACUGGGAGACUAGAGUACCGGAGAGGAGGGUGGAAUUCCUGGUGUAGCGGUGAAAUGCGUAGAUAUCAGGAAGAACACCGGUGGCGAAGGCGGCCCUCUGGACGGAUACUGACGCUGAGACGCGAAAGCCAGGGGAGCAAACGGG